Molecule: ribosomal RNA, 589 nt
Filed under: uncultured Caryophanaceae bacterium
Lineage: Bacteria; Bacillati; Bacillota; Bacilli; Caryophanales; Caryophanaceae
Description: bacterial SSU rRNA
Rfam family: Bacterial small subunit ribosomal RNA
Source: RNAcentral
CCUACGGGAGGCAGCAGUAGGGAAUCUUCCGCAAUGGACGCAAGUCUGACGGAGCAACGCCGCGUGAGUGAUGAAGGUUUUCGGAUCGUAAAACUCUGUUGCGAGGGAAGAAACCGUGCCAAUUAACUACUGGCACCUUGACGGUACCUCGCCAGAAAGCCACGGCUAACUACGUGCCAGCAGCCGCGGUAAUACGUAGGUGGCAAGCGUUGUCCGGAAUUAUUGGGCGUAAAGCGCGCGCAGGCGGUCCCUUAAGUCUGAUGUGAAAGCCCACGGCUCAACCGUGGAGGGUCAUUGGAAACUGGGGGACUUGAGUGCAGAAGAGGAAAGUGGAAUUCCAUGUGUAGCGGUGAAAUGCGUAGAGAUGUGGAGGAACACCAGUGGCGAAGGCGACUUUCUGGUCUGUAACUGACGCUGAGGCGCGAAAGCGUGGGGAGCAAACAGGAUUAGAUACCCUGGUAGUCCACGCCGUAAACGAUGAGUGCUAAGUUGUUAGGGGGCUUCCGCCCCUUAGUGCUGCAGCUAACGCAUUAAGCACUCCGCCUGGGGAGUACGGCCGCAAGGCUGAAACUCAAAUGAAUUGACGGGG